GACGAACGCUGGCGGCGUGCUUAACACAUGCAAGUCGAGCGGUAAGGCCCUUUCGGGGGUACACGAGCGGCGAACGGGUGAGUAACACGUGGGUGACCUGCCCUCAGCUCUGGGAUAAGCCCGGGAAACUGGGUCUAAUACCGGAUAUGACUCCAUGACGCAUGUUGUGGGGUGGGAAAGCCUUGUGCGGCUGAGGAUGGGCCCGCGGCCUAUCAGCUUGUUGGUGGGGUGAUGGCCACCAAGGCGACGACGGGUAGCCGGCCUGAGAGGGCGACCGGCCACACUGGGACUGAGAUACGGCCCAGACUCCUACGGGAGGCAGCAGUGGGGAAUCUUGCGCAAUGGGCGAAAGCCUGACGCAGCGACGCCGCGUGAGGAA
RNAcentral lists this ribosomal RNA (379 nucleotides) under uncultured bacterium. Its description in RNAcentral is "bacterial SSU rRNA". It matches the Rfam family "Bacterial small subunit ribosomal RNA", at positions 28 to 408 of the family's 1533-position model. The record is from RNAcentral.